RNAcentral lists this unclassified non-coding RNA (697 nucleotides) under Hevea brasiliensis (rubber tree). Lineage: Eukaryota; Viridiplantae; Streptophyta; Magnoliopsida; Malpighiales; Euphorbiaceae. The record is from RNAcentral.
CUGCUGCUCUUUUUAGAAGGUUUGCGUUAUGAGAAAAGGGUAAAACGGUGUGUUGAGCUCAAAUUGUGGAAUAGGUGAAAGUUGUUGCUAAGUUGCAUAGUUGUUGGAGCGGAUUGCGCAAAAGAUGACACGUCUUCAGAAAAUAUUGGAGAGGCUUAAAGAGUAGUUAGCAUGAGUAGUUAGUGAAUUGUAUUCUAUUACUUGUAUAGUCAAUAUAAACUGUUGUAAUGUUGUUUUGAGGAUAUACUGUGAAUGAUACAAUUCUGAUUGGGAUUGUUGGUCCCAAAUUCCUUUUCUGUGUAUCAAUGAUAUCAAAGCCAAUACAUUCGCACCCCAAUCAUUAUAAGCCAUUUUCCUUUUAAUUUUGAUAAAUCCUUGAUGCCAUUGCAACGCUCUUCCUUCAAGAUGCAAGACUGCAAUGUUGACCUUUUCUUCCACCGCCACAUUAGCCACAUCAAGGAAAUAUUUGACUCUCCAGCCCUCCAACACCUCCCCAUUGAACACUGAAACUCCUGUUUUGUUGAUGGACCCCAAUUCUGUUUGGUGUUCCACCCCAUCUGACUACCACUAGAUCUUUCUUGGUCCACCAUUUCCUUCUCCUUUUCCGCAACCUUUUCUACAUUAUGCAAACUUAGCCCAUGCAAUGAGUACUUUAUUCUCAUCCAAAGCCCUCUAGUUCUUUGCCUCUGCUUCCUUA